Molecule: long non-coding RNA, 2999 nt
Organism: Brassica napus (rape)
Lineage: Eukaryota; Viridiplantae; Streptophyta; Magnoliopsida; Brassicales; Brassicaceae
Exons: 3
Source: RefSeq, a predicted model, not a curated record
UACUAAUCAUUUUUAUUAAACAUUUUCAAACUCUAAACUUUACAUUUAAAUCUUAAUAUUACUUGAAAAUAUUACAAAAUAAUAAUAACAAUUACAAAAAAUACAUUACAACUUAAUAAUAAAUUAAAAUAUAUAAAGAUAAAACACGUGGAAUCAUAGUCUUAGAUAUUCAUGUUCUUGGGUCGGGUAUGAAUCGAUUCUUAUUGGCUUGAGUAUAUUUGAGUCCGUUGUUUUCGGUUCUAUUUCUUUCGAGUAAAAGAAUUUUAGACCAAACUAAGUACUUAUAAAUUUUUAUUCGAUUUCAGGUUGGUUUCAAGUUGAAUUUUUGGAUCCGAGUAAAAUGCUCAAGCUUAAUUAAACAUGUAAAGUAUCAAUCAAAUAAAAUAAAUAUUUAACAAACAUAUUAAGUCAUUUUUAUUAUAAAUUUUUUAACAAAAUUUGACUAAUGUGGAACUGGUUAACAAGAUAAAUAAUUCAAAUCAAUUUAACAACUUUUAAAAUAAAAUUAAAACUAAUGCGAAACAGGUCAAAUUAAUGAAUAAAUUUAAUUAACCUAAUAAAAUAAAUAAAUUAAAUUAUAAAUAUAAUUUAAAAAUAUAUACAUUAGGUAAAAAAUCAUUUUUUGUUUUAUAAAAUUUUAUGUUAAAUCAAAAGUAAUUUCGCGCUUUGAAAGCUCGGGUCAAACCUAGUUUUAUGUUAUUCAAUUGAACUGAAUUCAGCCGAACCAUAUUAACCCAUCAUCCAAAUGUUUUUUUCAGUUUAGUUAUUAGUUAAGUUUUAAAAACAUUAGUUAAAUGAAAAUAAAACACUGUAAAAUACUAAAUGAAUUAGGAAAAGAAAUAUCUGAACUUAACCAAAAACACACAAUAUUUGAAUUUCGUUCUUAAUCGAGUUUGCAAUAUACUAAAUGAACUAGAAUUUUGUCAACGUUUCUGUGAAUUAUGAACCAAACAUUUUACAAUUAGACCAUGUAUCAAAACUAGAAAGGACUCCGAAAGUCUUUCAAUACUUGGUGGACAGCAAAAUCGGAGUUUAAAAAGUCGCCGGUCAGUGUAAAAAGUCAAAAACGCGUUAAACUGAAUAUUCUUUGGUACGGCUGAUGCUUUCAUAUUAUCUUUUUUUUGGUAAAAUGUUAAAAUUAUAUUACCAGUUUUCUAUUUUUUACGGAACAACAAAAAGAACAAGAAGUGGAAUGCAGAAAUGUAAAUUAAACAGAGCACCUAGUGAACAAAUAGAUUCAAAGUCGACAACCUGAGGACCUAAGUGCGAACUAGAGAUAGCGAAGCGUUGAUGCCCCCAAGGGAAUGGAAAGAGAGGAACGAGACCCCGGUUGCCGCGAGCUUCCAGAGAGAAAGGCGGCUCAAACCUUGAAGCAACGGGAAAACCUACAGCUUCCGAGAGACUCAAACAUCAAACCACACCGAGAAAUGCAACCACGGAACAGCUAGCCCGUUUGAAAUUGCCACACCGACAGCACGAAGAGAGUCCACAAACAGGCGGUGCCGUCGUUCGGGAUGAAGACCGGAGGUUGCUGUCUCCAACCCUCAAACCCCCGAGACCGUAUACACUCAUUUAACCCACCACACACGCAGAGUAAUGGGACAUGUUGGGCACAUCUCCUCCGGAAGAAGCAACUGUCAAACUAGCUAGAGCUCGAGUGCUCAACUAACACUUAUCCACACGCAGAGGACAAGACUGCAAACACAGAGCUAUCGCCACAAGAUGACAAUUAUUAUGGGAGAAGAGAUCGAAGUACGCGUCGCCACAGUCAAGAGCUCGGGUCUGAGAGACAGAGACACCAAAAGAGACGCGGAUGCAGUCUCGUGACUCGACACGCGCUGUCACGGAAACCCCCAAACCCGGGCGACAACACCGAGAGAGGAAGCUCCCAACACGCACCCACGACUGAAAACCAGCCACAGGAUCUCACACUAGCCAAGCGGAUCCGGACGAGCCAAGAAACCGAGACUCAAACCCAGCCAAGAAGAGACCUCGCCGAAGGGAGGCGGAAGAUGAAGAACCGCCGGGAUUGAAGCCUCAUCAGGACUCCACACGCCAUCAAUCUCCUGGUCCGAACCCUAGGUCCGGGAAAAAUUUGGUGAAACACCGACGAUCUGAACAGACGGGAAAGAGAAUCGACCUGGUUCGAGCACUUUCCUCACCACCGCCUUGGUACCUACAGAUCCGCCGGAAGGAUCUCCAACGAAGACACGAGGGCACCAACCACCCAUGAACCCGAGUCCAUCGACUGGCCCUAGCUCGAAAACGUCGCCGUCACACCAGAUAUGGCACCACCCACGCCAAACCUCUCAGAUCUACCGCGAAUAGAACAGAGGCUUGAGGCGGCAAAGCAAUCAAGAGCUUCGACAAAGACAGCAAAGAGGAGGAGAAAGCCGAUGGAGCAAAGAGGAAAAGAAAACAAGGAGCUCCCGACGACGGCCUGCGGAACCAUCGCCGUCGGAGCCGAAACGAUGAGAGGCGCUAGGGUUUUCUAGAGAGGAUUUUAGAGAUCGAGAGAGAGGAGCUUCCCUCCUUUCAUAUUAUCUUCUCUACUUAUAAAAUACCAUUUCACGAAACGUAACAAAGAAAAUCAGUUUUAAAAUGGCAACUUAUAAAUCAUGUGUAACUGCUCUUUUUCUGUCUUUACUUCUAUGUCUUUCUUCUCAAGUCGGUGUCGCCGAGGCCAAACGCUCCACACUUACUACCAAGUCUUCGGAUACCCGAUGCGCGAGAAACCCACCAAGUCAGUACCGGCGAGGAUGUUCCAGCGCCCCUGCGGCCCUGCCCCGACGGGCACACGUGCGAACCACUCUAACUCAACCAAAGGAAAAGGUCCAUAAGUGAAGAUGAACUUAAAGUUUCAAGAAGUGAUGGGGAGUUGAAGAAAUAUAUGUUUCAAGGGAAUGUCGAAUAAUCAAGUUUAUAUACUGUUGUGUAAUUGUUAAAAGUCUUAACAUGGAAUAAAUGUUAAAUAAUCAGAGCUAAGCUAUUCCAAAUUA